GAUGAACGCUGGCGGCGUGCCUAAUACAUGCAAGUCGAGCGAACAGACGAGGAGCUUGCUCCUCUGACGUUAGCGGCGGACGGGUGAGUAACACGUGGAUAACCUACCUAUAAGACUGGGAUAACUUCGGGAACCGGAGCUAAUACCGGAUAAUCUAUUGAACCGCAUGGUUCAAUAGUGAAAGACGGUUUUGCUGUCACUUAUAGAUGGAUCCGCGCCGCAUUAGCUAGUUGGUAAGGUAACGGCUUACCAAGGCAACGAUGCGUAGCCGACCUGAGAGGGUGAUCGGCCACACUGGAACUGAGACACGGUCCAGACUCCUACGGGAGGCAGCAGUAGGGAAUCUUCCGCAAUGGGCGAAAGCCUGACGGAGCAACGCCGCGUGAGUGAUGAAGGUCUUCGGAUCGUAAAACUCUGUUAUUAGGGAAGAACAAAUGUGUAAGUAACUAUGCACGUCUUGACGGUACCUAAUCAGAAAGCCACGGCUAACUACGUG
This 496-nucleotide ribosomal RNA is filed under the name uncultured bacterium. RNAcentral describes it as "partial 16S ribosomal RNA". It matches the Rfam family "Bacterial small subunit ribosomal RNA", at positions 28 to 507 of the family's 1533-position model. The record is from RNAcentral.